AACCUUAACCUCCCAAAUUGCAGAGGACUUUGUGUAGGUGGUACGUAUACACAAUUUCGCACUUUUUGGGAUCCUUACGACCAAACAUUCCCUUUUCCCUUCCCCCCCCCCCCCUUUCUUCUCCCUAUUUCUCGUUUUAUAUUAUCUCAUUUUGGAAAAUAUUUCAUUUUGAAACUCAUCGACAUUUAGAUCUGUUAAAUGAAAGUAGGAAACACAAUAAUGAACACAUAAUAUAAGAUUAAAUUAAGUUAUUGAUCUUAACAUAGAAUAUAUUUGAUAUGAAUGUGAUUUUGAUUUUUAAAAACCAAUUUAAUUCGUACACAGAGUUCGCAAUAGUGGUACAACCAGUUAGUUACAUCUCUCUUUCUUUCCGUUAUCGAUUAAGAACAAGUUCACGUUACGUUUUAUUUCGACAGCAACAGCAUAGAUGUUAACACCAAAAACAAAUUACAAACAAGAAUUUUAGUUUUACACCCCGAUCUUUGAUUGUAUUCACGUUGAACCUUAAUUUAAAUGUUUCUUCUUAAUUAAAUUUGACGCACGUCUCUGAAGAUGAUAACUUGUUAUCGAAACAUGUAAGACAAAACGAUUAAUAAAUUUAAAACCAGUAAAAAGUA
This is a long non-coding RNA of Onthophagus taurus, 617 nucleotides long. RefSeq lists it as uncharacterized. NCBI's taxonomy places the organism in Eukaryota, Metazoa, Arthropoda, Insecta, Coleoptera, Scarabaeidae. The record is from RefSeq and is a predicted model, not a curated record.